RNAcentral lists this ribosomal RNA (565 nucleotides) under uncultured bacterium. Its description in RNAcentral is "partial 16S ribosomal RNA". It matches the Rfam family "Bacterial small subunit ribosomal RNA", at positions 355 to 911 of the family's 1533-position model. The record is from RNAcentral.
UGGGGAAUUUUGGACAAUGGGCGAAAGCCUGAUCCAGCAAUGCCGCGUGUGUGAAGAAGGCCUUCGGGUUGUAAGCACUUUUGUCCGGAAAGAAAUCCUUGGCUCUAAUACAGUCGGGGGAUGACGGUACCGGAAGAAUAAGCACCGGCUAACUACGUGCCAGCAGCCGCGGUAAUACGUAGGGUGCAAGCGUUAAUCGGAAUUACUGGGCGUAAAGCGUGCGCAGGCGGUUUGCUAAGACCGAUGUGAAAUCCCCGGGCUCAACCUGGGAACUGCAUUGGUGACUGGCAGGGCUAGAGUAUGGCAGAGGGGGGUUAGAAUUCCACGUGUAGCAGUGAAAUGCGUAGAGAUGUGGAGGAAUACCGAUGGCGAAGGCAGCCCCCUGGGCCAAUACUGACGCUCAUGCACGAAAGCGUGGGGAGCAAACAGGAUUAGAUACCCCUGGUAGUCCACGCCCUAAACGAUGUCAACUAGUUGUUGGGGAUUCAUUUCCUUAGUAACGUAGCUAACGCGUGAAGUUGACCGCCUGGGGAGUACGGUCGCAAGAUUAAAACUCAAAGGAAUU